Molecule: non-coding RNA, 242 nt
Organism: Pelobates cultripes (western spadefoot toad)
Lineage: Eukaryota; Metazoa; Chordata; Amphibia; Anura; Pelobatidae
Source: the annotation of a GenBank genome assembly
AUGCAACUCUGCUUGUUGUCUCUGCUACCUGUCACUUGUUCUUGUCUGUUUUCAUAAGUAGGGUUGGGAUAUCUACAUAUUAAGGUAAUUUUGGUUGCUACAUUGGGUAUCUACAUGUUUGUUCAGAGUACAUUUCAUUGGCUAACCAACCUGUUUACAGUCCAUCAACGUUAUCUGGUUUGGCAGUUCUUCCCGAUGGUGGACAUUGUUGUAUUCAUUGUAUCUAGGACUUCGUUUCUUCC